Long non-coding RNA from Melopsittacus undulatus (budgerigar), 705 nucleotides. RefSeq lists it as uncharacterized. The transcript has 4 exons. The record is from RefSeq and is a predicted model, not a curated record. NCBI's taxonomy places the organism in Eukaryota, Metazoa, Chordata, Aves, Psittaciformes, Psittaculidae.
UUCUGGGACACAAGGGCUAGGAGCAAGCUGGCCAGGGAGCAGGGUAGAAGGACGUUUGGUGGCACAGCGUUACUCCUGCUGACUUAUAACGUUCUGUGUUGUGCAGGUUUCCUCCUCCAUUACACCGUCAUAUGCAGACACGCCGGAAAACGUAUGACAGCUGCUUAAGCCAGAUGUGUUUGUGGUACCAUGGUGUGACCCAGCGUAAGAAAGCUCACCUCUAGAAGAUGCCUAUGGAAAUGGAAUCCACAAAUCAAGGAACAAAGCAAUGAUUGAAACACGAGUAUUGCUGUAAUGUUCAGGGGGAGACUCAGCACAAGCACUAUGGUGUAAACUGAAGGAACAAAACGCGUCAGCCAUGGACUAGUGAGAUGGAUCCAGGGUCUCACCAGUUAGAGCACUGCUGUUGCCAUUAGCUCUGUUUCUAAUGGAGCAUCAAAGAUGGUCACCUGCCUGGGGUGGAUACUCUGAACUACUUUUUGCUGAUGGAUUUUACAAACUUUGUGUUGCCUACAAAUUCAGCUGUCAGUGCAUCUCCUGAAGUUGUGAACGGAAGGCAAUGCCAUUGUUUUGAGGAAGUCCACCAGCACGUCCCGCCAGGCUGGUCACUUCCAUAGUAACUUGCUAUUGCCUGGUCACCUCCUUAGCCAUGGGACAACUGUAAACCAUUCUUCACCAUCAGUAACCUUAUCCGUGUCAUUGCAU